RNAcentral lists this ribosomal RNA (877 nucleotides) under uncultured bacterium. RNAcentral's name for it is "bacterial SSU rRNA". It matches the Rfam family "Bacterial small subunit ribosomal RNA", at positions 56 to 934 of the family's 1533-position model. The record is from RNAcentral.
UGCAGUCGGACGGGAUUGAGGAGCUUGCUUCUCAUGAGAGUGGCGCACGGGUGCGUAACACGUAUGUAACCUACCUUGUUCAGGGGGAUAGCCUCUCGAAAGAGAGAUUAACACCGCAUAAAAUCAAUUUAUGGCAUCAUAGAAUGAUCAAAUAUUUAUAGGAACAAGAUGGGCAUGCGGAACAUUAGCUAGUUGGUAAGGUAACGGCUUACCAAGGCUACGAUGUUUAGGGGAUCUGAGAGGAUGACCCCCCACACUGGUACUGAGACACGGACCAGACUCCUACGGGAGGCAGCAGUAAGGAAUAUUGGUCAAUGGACGCAAGUCUGAACCAGCCAUGCCGCGUGCAGGAAGACGGCCCUACGGGUUGUAAACUGCUUUUGUACCGGAAUAAACCUUUUCACGUGUGAGAAGCUGAAUGUACGGUAAGAAUAAGGAUCGGCUAACUCCGUGCCAGCAGCCGCGGUAAUACGGAGGAUCCAAGCGUUAUCCGGAUUUAUUGGGUUUAAAGGGUGCGUAGGUGGCCUAUUAAGUCAGGGGUGAAAGACGGUAGCUUAACUAUCGCAGUGCCUUUGAUACUGAUGGGCUUGAAUACACUUGAGGUAGGCGGAAUGUGACAAGUAGCGGUGAAAUGCAUAGAUAUGUCACAGAACACCAAUUGCGAAGGCAGCUUACUAAAGUGUUAUUGACACUGAGGCACGAAAGCGUGGGGAUCAAACAGGAUUAGAUACCCUGGUAGUCCACGCCCUAAACGAUGAAUACUCGAUGUUGGCGAUAUACGGUCAGCGUCUAAGCGAAAGCGUUAAGUAUUCCACCUGGGGAGUACGCCCGCAAGGGUGAAACUCAAAGGAAUUGACGGGGGCCCGCACAAGCGGAG